Long non-coding RNA from Anolis carolinensis (green anole), 11710 nucleotides. RefSeq lists it as uncharacterized. The transcript has 5 exons. NCBI's taxonomy places the organism in Eukaryota, Metazoa, Chordata, Lepidosauria, Squamata, Anolidae. The record is from RefSeq and is a predicted model, not a curated record.
AGAAAUGCAAGGGUGAAAAGCCCCUUGGAUCUUCUGCUCCUUGGUAUGCAAAAAUACACCAAGUGCACAGCUGAAUGUUUCCACAUAGAAUAUUAAUGAUUCCACGGGACAAAAACAUUAGCACUGGUUCAACUUUAGCCUUGUAGGUUCUGUUUUAAUGCUAAGACCCACAAGCCAGGAACUGGUGCCUCAGCAGAAACAUAAAAGAAAUCUCACCCCCGGCAGUUCUUUUGAGUUCCAAAACUAAACAGAGCUCACUGUUUUCCUGUACUAAAUCCUCUUCAACUCUCCCCCCCUCAUUUUGGCAGUAUAAUUACGGCAGGAAAGGAGUCAUUAUCAGGUUGUUACUUUUAAACAACUGGGAGUCAGAAAUCUUUGCAAAUCAAUGAGACAUCUCAAAGUCAUGUGGCGCAGGCUGGUUAACAGCCAGCUGCAAUAAAUCAAGGCCAGCCCGUGUUGGGGUGAGCACCCGACAAUUAAAAUAAAAAAUAGCCCCUGCUCGUUGUUGACCUAAGCAACGCGAAAGAUAGUUGCAUUUAUCAAGUAGGAAAUUUAGGUACCACUUAUAUGUGGGGAGGCUAAUUUACGACACCAUAAAAAUCAUCCAGCCGCCGUUGGAAUGAGGAAGUUGCCGUCACAGUGGAUGAUGAAACAGCUGCUCACCCUGUGGCCGGAAUCAAGCAUACCCUCAGAAAACUGGAAGCUGGAGAAGCUUUAAAUUGCCUCUUCAUCUGUCUCUGUCUCUGUUCUAUGUUAUAUGGCAUUGAAUGUUUGCCUUAUAUGUGUACAAUGUGAUCCACCCUGAGUCCCCUUUGGGGUGAGAAGGGUGGAAUAUAAAUACUGUAAAUAAAUAAUAAAUAUAUCCAGCUUCCCUUUCUGCCCACCAUUUAACAUGUUUUCCCUUUCAAGUUUUAAGAAUAGAGCUUAGGAUGCAAAGAUCAAACCUACAUUCCUACUAUUAUUCUAUAUUACAUGAGCCUGGAAGGGUUGCUAUUGAAACAUGUGAUACAUUACAGGUCCCCACAAACUGUUCCCGAUGGAAGUGACCCAAAAUGAAGUAGUAUGUGGAAAAAGAGUUUAUGAACUGUUGCUAAUAUUAUAGGAAGGAGAGUUCAAGAGCAAACAUGCAUUCGAAAUCACAUGGGGAAGAAAGAAAGUUACCUAUGAAGAUUUACCUAUAAGCAAAGAAUUCCUUGCAAGGAAAAAAAAACCCCUGAUAUUGGAGACCUUGCUCCCAUAGAAAGGGGUUAUUGAUUGGAUUGUUGCUUCUCUCUAGUACAGUCUGUCUGGUGGCAAUAAUGCAGUGCCAGUGGACAAGGUAAUAUGUGCAGCCAAAAAGUGACUGCUUGGUCUAGAUUUGACCUGUUGUUUGACUGUACAAAGUGAAGUUUCCUGGCUCAAUUCUUUUGGCGGUCCAGUUGUUCCCCUCAGGAGAUUCAUAUCUUGCUUGCUUUUGGAUCCUUUGACCAAAGAUGCUGCAAACUGCACUGUGCCUAAAUUGAAUGAUUCCAGCUCUUCCUUGUAGCUACAUGACAUUUAGUUUCCCCUUCACUGUAUUUCAGUUCCCAAUAGCCUCCCGUGUAUCAAUAUGCAUGUAAUGUGGAGAUGGGCUGAGAUUUGUAUCAAGACCCCCUGAGAUCAGAAAGGCCAUGCCACAGUGGCACAUGCAUGCAACUGUCACACAUGAAAAUUAUGCAAGGAGUAUGUAUCAUGGAACUCCUGUGAUAUUUUAAUAACAUGAAUACAUUUCUAAGACCCCAACCCAUGUCAAGAUUCACUGUUCACAUGAACCAUAAAGUUGCUGUUCUUAGUAUGAGCGCUGUAAAGCUGAGAAUGAGAUCUUCUCCUAAGUAAAGUCUUCCUAGAUUUAUUUUGGAGACUUCACGAGAUAUGCUUAGGAGCAGGUUCCUACACCAUUAUCACUGCCUAACAUCUCUUUCCCCUAAUUGUACUCUACUAGUUACUCUUUUCUGAGACAAAUAAUAAAUAAUAAUAAACUUCAUUUAUAUCCCAUCACCAUCUCACCAAAGGGACUCGGGGCGGCUUACAAAGGCACUCCAGGGUGCAGCAUAUACAUAAAACAGUACAUGAGUAUAAAACAAUAUCACAUAAAAUGUUAACAAACCACUAUCAACACAUAUAGCAUAAAAUAAAAUAGCACCAUUUUAAAAACGUAGAACAUCUGUAGAUAAAACUAGCUGCCAUCAAUUCACUACUAAAGUGCUAGAGUGUAAACCUCAUAUGGACACAUUUCAACCUACUCAAGGUCAAAAGUUUGUUUAAAAAUCCAUGUUUUUAGGCUGGAUUGGAAAGAUUGAAGGGUAGCGGCUAAUCUAAUCUCUUUUGGGAGAGUAUUCCAGAGCCGGGGAGCCACCACAGAGAAGACCCUUUCUCUCGUCCCCACCAACCAAGCUUGAGACAGUGGUGGGACCAAGAGAAAGGCCUCCACAGCUGAUCUCAAAGCCUGCACCGGUUCAUAGAAAGAGAUGAGGUCUCGAAGAAAGUUCCAAUGUUAUAACAUCACGUCCCCUGGACAGGGAUGGUCCAAAACAUUGUUUAAGAUGAAAAAUGGCAUUUCCUGUUCCAUGCAGAGAUGACUCUUGCUUUGACAUUGAGAAGCCAAACACACAACCUAAUUGAGAAGUCAGUCAUUCAACCUGAGGACAGCAGAAUAGCCAACAAAGUACAGAGCAUAUUAUUUGGUUCACAAAACUCUGUUCUCCCACAUCUUCCUUCUCCUACCCCACCAACAGACACGUCAUUCUCUCUAAUCAUAGGGCUGUACUAAAUGCACCAAAUGAUACUUGUACCGAUGUAACAGAGUUGGGGAGGAGGUGGUGGGCUAUUGUUUUUGUAGGUGGUUGAACAGUGAUUGCAAUGAUAUGUUAUUGCUACAUAGAUCUCGCCUAGAGAUGCCUUAAAUUGCUUACCUGUGACUGGAUUGUAGCCAGAGUAAGUAGAGAGCAACAGAACAGAUACAGUACUUGAGAUAGAGACUGGAGACACCUGUCUUCAGACAUUUAAAUACAUGUUUAGACUACAAAUUACAAGUGCAACUAAUCUUUGCUGACUCACAAAAGAACUAACAUGCAAGAUAAUAAUAGGGGGUGGAGCUGGCACACUUUAGAUGGGUUUCAAUGCAGGUCCCAUCACACUCAGAAUAUAAAUAACAUUUAUGGAGAAGGCUGAGUCAACAGAUUAUUAUCACUCAUUUAUAAUCAUGAACUAGAUGACAUCUCCACUGGUAUAGACUGAGCACAGUAACACAAAUAGAGUUGUCUGUCCUUAGGGUCAAAGUGGUAUAGUGGUUUAAGUGUUGACUAUUACUUUGGAGACCAUGGUUUGAUUCCCUGCUUGGCCAUGGAAACCUACUGAAUGGUGCUGGAUGAAUUUUCUCAGCCCUGGAAUAUCCUGUGAUAAGUUUUUACCCCUGGGUUGCCAUAGGUUGGAAAUGACUUGAAGACAUACAACAACGGCUUGGCAAUGCAUUGAACAUAGGUAGACAAGUCAGAUAUGUUGCCCAAAAAGUCAAUGUGUGGCAAGUGGAUAGAGAUAAAGAGAUGAGAAACCUAUAUUCAUCCUGUUCAAUCAUGUCCUUGAUCUAUUAUUGAUACUUGGGCUAGUUGAUUGUCUGUCUGCCUUUUCCUCCAGUCUGGGACUCAAGGUGAAUUACAACAGUUAAAAUAAACACUAUUUGAAAAUCUAUGGUAGUUGCAGGUGUCACAAUAUGACUAGGGAACCACCCCUAAUGGUUGAAAGCUUUGGAACCAAAUUGCAUGUAUUGCCCUGAGAAAGAAAUAAAAAGAGCUGGGAUCAAGCAAAGGCAUAAAUGGGAAGUGAUGAAUUGUUCUUUCUAAUAGGAUUAGGAAGGUGAUGGGAGAGGUGCUGGGUCAUUCUGAUUUUCCACUCCACUGUCACUAUGGUUCAUGAUUCUGAGGAAGGUUGCCCAGGGGUCAUUCACAAUACGUUUGGCAGGAUGUGCAGAAAAUAGUUUGGCAGCCAGAAAGCUGGGCAUUUGCUCUAAAUCUGGGUCUGGUUCCCAAGAGCAGCAAGGACCCCAACACGUCUUGGUAGGAGAGAGGCAAAAGGCUGAGGCUUUCCUAGAUAUUGUUUAAACAAAAGACUUCGGCAACUGAUUGAAGAAGCUUUUAAUGCCUGGGUGCUGUACCUCACACUGCAAAUAGCCCAUUAUAGACAACACAUAGUAAAAUGAUGUCUCUUAUAUAAAAUGGCAAAUUCAAAAUGUGCUUUUGGGAAAUUUUUAAAUAUUUUGGAGUCAUGGAUUAUGAGUGUAGAAUCAUAUAUAUGGACAACCAACUGCCAAUUAUUGAUGUCCCUUCUAUUUUUCAUUUGAUGUUGUUUUUAUUUUGCUUUAAUGUUGUUGUUGUUUGUCUUUUUGUCCAUGCAUUUUUCCUAAUUAAUUAUAUUGGGGGACACUUUUGAGUCUCACCUUUUAAGAAAGGGAUUGUGAAGUCUUGGCUCUGCUUUUUCCUCUCCUUUGCUUUAGGUCUCCCUGUUUAUAGGUUUUCCCAAUAGUGUAGAUAGAUACCUUCCUUUGUAUUAGUUUUGGGUGGAGCAUACCCCCCCCCAGAGACCAGCCUUAGUUGAUCCAUUCCAUUUGCCUGUACAGAGCUCUCUUGCUAUACUCUUCCUUUUUCCGCAAUAGAACUACAGAGAUGAGAGACUUGGGCAUUGUCUGGUAAUCCUAGGCCCAAGCAAUCCAAAACAGGCAUCCUUAGCACCUCCAUUCAACCAGUAUUCAUAUACCACUAGUCCCAGAGACAACAGAAGCUUUUGACCAGCUUAAGCUUCACAAGAAAGAAGAUUGAGAAAACUUGUAAGCACCAGCUUGUAAACCAUCACUUUGCAUCAGAGGCAGAAGACUUUCAAUGACUCCAGAGAGAUGACUGCAACCAGCAAAAUCUCAUUUUGUAAUGUAUUGUUUUAAGCUAUCUUAUAAUAGUCCUGGGUGGAGUUAACCCUUUAUUCAUCUUGUUUUUGAUAUGUUUUGAUAAUCAUUUUGAUUAUGUUUUCACCUUGCCUAAAGUGCCUCUGUAUGUUAAGGGUCUUUAUCUUAACAGAAGGUAUACAGAUAGCCCCCGAGUAGACACUAUAGUUUUUCCCAUACGCUCGGGCAUGCCAUCACAGGGAUCAAAUAAAAACAUUUUGAUUGCCAUUUUCUCCAUAUCAGAAAGUACUAUCCUAUACAUUCAGAAGUAAGUCCUAUAAUGUUAAAUGAGAUUUACUCCAAAGAUAUUAUAAAUUGGCAUCCUUACGUUCUACUGAAUUCAGUUAAUAUCCAUAACACUAAUCUGGACUUCAUCGUCUCUUGUGCUAACUUACCACCAUACACAAGAAUGUUCUGGGUUUGGUACUAUUUUUUAUGCAGACAUUCAAAAUAUACCCCUUUCCAUGGGAAUUUGAAGAAAUACAGUCAAAGCAGUUCUAUCAUCUUGCUGCUUCAACUGCAGACUGACUCAAAUCCCCUGAAAGGAGAACUAGAGCUUCUGUUCUCAGAGUUUUACAUCCUGCCUCUUAAUAGCAGAGUUGGGUUUGGAGGCUGCCAAUUAUUUAAUCACAGUGUGACUCAAAUGAGUAAUCUCAUAAACAUCAUUGUCGAUGGGAUAACUCUUCUGUCAGCAGUAAAGUAUAUACUUUGGUGCUAAGAGCUAAAUAAUCCCAUGUCCUGCAAACCACUUCCCAUGAAGUUACCGUACAGAAUGCCAGAUCUGCCUCACCUUCCCACCAUAGUUUGCUUUCCUUGAUUUCGAUGAGUGGUUGAUACAGAUGGUUUUAGUGCAACACAAAAGGGAAAUAGGCAAAGGAAAUAACUCUACUGCUUCUUUUGUAGACCCCAAUCCGUACCACUAUUUUGGCAAGAACCAAGAUAUGUUAUGGAUUGAUGAUGAUCAAUGGAAAUUCUUAUGUGUGCCCGUGAUCCAGAGUCACCCACAAAACAGUAACAUGCCCCUGAGGUUUACAGAACAAAAAUACAAAAAAUACAAAAGAUCAAAGAACAGUAGUAUUUACAAUGGUCUCUCUGAUCACUGAUAGAAGUCCAGCCAUAAAUAGUCCUUUCUCAGUCCACAAAUCUGCUUCAGAGGAGAAUACAGUCCUGGUUCUUCACCCUCUUUCCUCAGCAGCAAACAGGCCUCAAAAUAGAAAGGCCUUUCUGAGUACACCGCUCUCUUUACCAGCAGUACUCAGUCAGCACUGAAAACUUGUCCAAACUGGUUCUGCAGCAGCAGAACAGAAACAGUAUCAAAUCAAUCCCCAGGUCAUUGCAGGCUCAGCCAAUCAGCUUCAUACACUUCAUUUUCCAGUUAACACACACAGUACAGUGCCUUUGCAAACCAUGACAAGAUAGACUGCUUGAUUUUCUCACUUAGUAGUUAGUGCAUGACUAGGAACACCAGGCUAGUCUUUGGACUAGCGAAGUAGUUUUUCCAUUGAGAGAAGGAGGAAGAUUGCUCUGCACAUUGCAUAGCUAGACCCUUCCCAUCAUAGAAUUAUCCCCAUCUGCUCCCAGGACAAGCAUAAUAUCAGCAAGAGCCAAAUGCCUCAUGUGUUUGCACUGCACAUGCUAAGACCUAUGACUACAUCUAGAUAUGACUACAUCUAAUCCCAGACUAUCUAGGGAGAAACAUGCCUGCUUUUCCACUCCCUCAACUUUAGGAUUUGCAAAUAAGGCUAGAUUAAGGGCACUAAAACAGUUCCAAAAAGAGAUCCUCUUUUGAAUCAUAGAAUUUUAAAAAUUGGAAGGACACACAAGAGUCAUCUUGUCUGACUGUGUUGAUUAGGAAAACACAACUACAGCACUUCUGAAAGAUGCCCCUCCAAACUCUAUUUAGAGAUCUCCAAACAGUCUCUGCCACUUUCAAACAGUUCCUAUAGUCAAGAUGCUCUUCCUAAUAUUUAGAUGGAAUGUGUUUCCUUGUAUCUUCUAUCUUGAAUCUGUUGGAUCAUGAUCUAUAUUCUGGAAUAACAGAAAAUAUGCUCACUCAAUCCUCAAGUGUUUUACUGUUUUAAUUGGGCAUGAUAUUGGUUUUAUGAUUGUUGGUUUUUACUAUAUUUUGUAUUAUAUGUGGCAGUAAUCUUGCCAUUAUGUAAGUCCGCUCUGGGUCCCCUUGGGGGAGAAGAGCGGUAUAUAAAAUAAAUAAAUAAAUAAGCUUUUGUGGAAAAUGUCUGCAUAGUAAAUGAAUAAAUCAUAAAGUAUUUUAGACAAUAGCAGGAAAAAUAUUCUUGAUGUGUGAAUCUGCUUUCAUCUGUGCAGCUUCAAUGAGGCAAAUAAUCAGAUCCCAUACAUUGUAUUACAUUUCUCAAGUCCCACAAACACAUGAAACUGACAGAAGAGUUAGGAAGUGCUUGUGUGAUUUCAGAUACAAUAGAAGUUUUGGGGGAAGUUCUCAAACAAGUGACCUUCUCUCCUUACCUUUAGAAACUUGGAACAAAUAUUUUGGUGCAGUGUAAUUUUGCUGACAUUAUUACUGUUUUGUAGCAUAUGGUUGUAAUUUGGAACUCAUCAUAAGGGCUGAAAUGUAAAAGGUGGCUGACAUGCUCAGUCUGAUCCUGAAUGCCAAGACGUUUUCAGCCGCCCUGCAUAUAAAGUUGGUAUAAUUGUGGGGAGGAAGGGAACAUUUUACCCCAUCAAACAAACUGUUUAUGUUCUUGAACAAUAAGAAGAAGUCAUGCCAAUCCUACUCAAAGGCUGUGGGGAUGCUUUGCACAACUGCUAAGGCAGUGUUCCUCCCGAAUCCUUGUAACCCAGACCCAAAGACACAAACAGAUGGAAAGAUACACGGGAAUGUUAGCAAGGAAGAAGAGAGGGAAGGUUUCAGUCAUAACAAAACAAGGCAGUUGGUUUCCAGGAAUAAGUAGGUCUAUGUGUUAUUCUAACAGUUCAAAUAACGCCUACGUUUAAAAAAAACACAGUGAGUGGGAGCUUUCUCUGUAGUUCAGUUUCCACUUCCCAAACUACAACACAAGCAAUAACAUACACAAUAAUCUUCAGUUUAGUGGCUGAUGGGUUGUUUCCUCUCACAGAGAUUGAGAACCCUUUCACACUAUGCAGUUAGAGUGUUAUGAUUCCACUCUAAUUACUAUGGCAAUGGCCUAUGUACUCAUUCUGUAGUACUGUGAGCAAUUCAAAGGUUGACUAGACCCAGCAGCUUGGUGCUACUUGGAAUAUUGCUACUACAUCCAGGUAAGCUGGAUGGAGUCACGGAAAGAGGUUCAAAACUGGAGCCAACUCUGCUCAGAUCUCAAUUAUAGAGACAAGGCCAAAGCCAGGUGGGCUGUGGGGCUGCAUAGAAUCAUAGAAUAAUAGAGUUGGAAGAGACCAUAUGGGCCAUCUAGUCCAACCCCUUGCCAUGAAGGAAAAGCCCAAUCAAAGUAACCCUGAUAGAUGGCAUGCAUCCCCCUCUGACCAUCUCUAUGCCCAACUCUCCCAGGCUUCCUAAACUACCCUUUCUUCUGAUAAAGCUAAAGGUACAUUGGAUUCUUCUGGAGGCCUCUAGCAAUAACAAGCAAUUCAUCUCUUUGAAGAUAAGAUUCAGAACACUCUGCAUUGUUUAACUUUCUUUCCUUUUUCAAACAGAAAUCAUCUCUUGGAUGAUCCUAGGAAAAGACUACUGUUCUGGGGUCCCAUCUACACUGCCAUAUAAAAUCCAGAUUAUGUCAAACAGAAAUCAUCUCCUGGAAGAUCCUAGGAAAAGACUACCGUUCUAGGGCUCCAUCUACACUGCCAUAUAAAAUCCAGAUUAUCUGGUUGGGUCAUCUGGAUUAUCUGGAGGCCCCAGAUGGCGUAGUGGACUAAGUGACUUGAAGGUUGGGUUGCUGACCUGAAAGCUGCCAGGUUCAAAUCCCACCCAGGGAGAGUGCAGAUGAGCUCCCUCUAUCAGCUCCAGCUCCAUGCGGGGACAUGAGAGAAGCCUCCCACAAGGAUGGUAAAAACAUCAAAACAUCCGGGCGUCCCCUGGGCAACGUCCUUUCAGACAGCCAAUUCUCUCACUCCAGAAGCGACUCAAGUUGCUCCUGACACGGAAAAAAAAAAUCUGGAUUAUAUGGCAGUGUAGAUCCAGCCUAAGUCCUACUGAAUUCACCUGCCCUUGAGAAUACACAAUGGAGAGCAAGCAGUAGUUAGUUGUGAAUAUGUGCCUUCAGGUUGCAUGUUAACUGAGAUCAACUCCAUGAAAAGGGUUUUUCUAAGGUAAAGAUUACUCAGGACCUUAUCCCAUGGGAAGGGGAAAGCGGGAGGAAAUUGUUUUCUUUACCAUAGCAUUUUGUUCUGUUCUGUUUAUAAGGAAAACAGAUAAUAUAUUCACCCCAUUACAUGUGAUGUACUUUUGUCUGUUUCUAGCGUAAUCCUCUCUGUUCUGAGCUAUCACAGGGCCGGAUGUAGUCCUCACCCUUACUGAUACAGCACUACAACAAAAAUAUAGUAACAGCAAACUGUAAUAUAUAUUGAAAAAUACACAAUUCCCUAGGAAUAAUUUUUUUUUAAAAAAAUUACCUUAAAAGUUUCAUGCAUGAGAAUUCAUGAUGAGAAAAGGAACACUGAGGCACAUUUUGCAACUGCCCACAAAAACGCUCCCCACAUCUUGACGUCACUACAAUGAUCUAAUACAGAAUCUGACAAUUUCCAUCCCACAUUAAAAUAAGUGCCUUUAAAGUAGCUGUCAUUUAGUGAAAUUGGUAUGUUUUGAAAUAAAUGUAUAAUUUUGGGGAGAACAUUAUUGACAUUAUGCAGCCCAUUCGUAAUAAUACUUGUUUUGACCACCUGGUCAGAUCAGGCCUUAUAGUGGCUCAAAUACUCUCAUAGAUAUUGUUCACCAGGUCAGGCUUAGUUGUAUCCCUAAAUAUUUUACUUUCUUUGCACAAUUAAUGUUUGCCAAUUUCUUGAUUUUCAUUUGAUCUUUUAACUUUGUAUUUUAGUCAAAAUUCUUAUUUAUCAUGAGGCCAGCAUCUCUUCCAAAUUCUUCGACUAUUUUUAUUAUUUUAGGUACAGAUCCAAGAAGUUUUUCCAUCAUGAGGACUGCAUCACAAAAACUGGUGACAAAUUGGAGAUUACCUGCUUUGAGAUGUGGAAUUAAGUCCAUUGUUAGCCUCAACUGGAAAGCUUUUGAGGUGAUUUAUUAUCAGAUCUGUCAAAAUCAGGAUUUGAUUGGUUAUGAAGGAACUAGUAUGAGUCACCCAAGGAAAAGUCAUUGAAAUAUGGAACCAAAUGGGAAUGUCAGAUAUAUCGACAAUGUUAGAAGUGGUAGGAAUCCUAUUUCCUCAAGAAACAGGUCUGACAAAGCGAGAGGAUUUGUGUGAUAUUCGGAGAGGUAACAAGACCCACAGUAAGGACAGAGAACGCAAGGCAGAUAAGGAGUGUCACGCUUGGCUUUCUUUUGGGACACAGCAGCCAAUGCGUUUCACCAUCCACCAGACCCUCCUUGCCCCUGAAUCUAUUUUUAGGCUGUGCAAUAAAAUUAACACUUUGUUUAAGCACUCAAUGACUUCCUUCCUAAAUGCCUGCCCUUUAAAAGGCCAACUGUGACUCUCCCAGGGAUUCAGGGAAUUGCUAUAAAUUUUUACACCCCUUUCAGCAGUUCGCACAUUGCUGUUCCAAGUUUUAUUAUUUUCGUUAUUAUCAAAACUAUUUUCAGAUGAUGACUGUGUCCUUAUGUCCGAGACAGAGAGAAAGAAUGUUGUGGUUCCUUAAAGAUAAAUAUGUUUUGUUUAGCAUAACUAUGGAAAUAGGUUACAAUCCACAAAAGCUCAUCCCAGAUAAAAUGUUACCCUGCAAGAUGCUACAACCCUUGUAGAUGUUGCUAUUUUUUAACCUCAUACUUAUCCUCAAAGGGUGCCCAAGAAUAACUUAGAAGAGAAAAAAAAAGUUGUACUGGAUUUUAUGCAUUCAUUACAAAUACUGUAUUGUCCCAUUGUAACAUCAAUAAAGCCUGUAGAAAACUAAUAAUCAAUUUAUAGUAGUAGAAGAAGACGUACAUUAGGGGACAGAAAAAAGGGCCUCACUUAAAGAUCUCAAAACAUGGCAGGUUCAUGAGGGAAUAUUUAUGUUUGUGUCUAUGUGCCUUCAAUUUGCCUGUGGAUUUACAUCAAUUCUAUGAAUGUCAUACAGCAAGGGUGUCAAACCCAUUUUCAUUGAGAGCCACAUCAGUCUUAUAGUUGCAAAGGGCUGAUGAAUCCAUAAUCCGUGGAUAGAGAGGGCCACAUAGUGCUUAGUGCUCUUUAGUCUUUACACAAUUUGCAUCCCCAGAUGUUAUGAACGGCAACUCACAUUACUUUUGAUUAUUCGCCAUGUGGACUGCGGAUGAUGGUGAAAGGACCAUAAACCAGAAAAUAGUAGACUUUUGCAUAUAUAGCUUUGCUUCUGCAUAUAUCAUAUUAUAGACAAUGUGUGUAACAAAGCCAGGGUAGUGUGUGUAACUAGCUCUUUGAGCUGGUACCUUUCUCUAGAAAGUUCCAAGGACAGAAGCUAGUUCGGAGUAAAUAAGUGAGAUCACAAACACCACUUUGUGCCAAAGAGGUGUGGAGGUGAAGACACCCUCAGUAAUUAGUCAAGUUUAGAUAAACCAAGAUAUAUAUUCUUUGUUUACUGCGCCACGCUUCGCAGAAGCCAUUUGCAAGUACAGACGUUUGGUGUGUGUAUGGCUGUUUUGCCUUUCUCAUAGCUAUGAUGAAAAUAAACUUUGCUUUUGUACUCUCA